This 1936-nucleotide long non-coding RNA is filed under the name Zonotrichia albicollis (white-throated sparrow). Its description in RNAcentral is "lncRNA (ENSZALG00000004507.1)". The record is from RNAcentral. Lineage: Eukaryota; Metazoa; Chordata; Aves; Passeriformes; Passerellidae.
CCCACGGGGAUGAUCCCGAAUCCACUGCCCAGAACCUUCAGCUUGCGGAUGGCGCGCAGGAGAUCGUCCCUGCACGGACAGACGGACACACGGACACACUGACGGACUGACAGCCCAGAUCUGGACAGACUGACUGACAAACAGACUGACACACUGACAGCCCAAAUCUGGACAGACAGACACACUGACAGACAGACAGACAGACACACUGACACACUGACUGACAGCCCAGAUCUGGACAGACAGACAGACAGAUAGACAGACACACUGACGGACACACUGACAGCCCAGAUCUGGACAGACUGACAGACAGACUGACAGCCCAGAUCUGGACAGACAGACUGAUGGACUGACUGACAGCCCAGAUCUGGACAGACAGACAGACAGACAGACAGACACCCCACAGGGAUGAUCCCAAACCCGCUGCCCAGCACCUGCACCCACAGCAGGGUCGUCUCUGGAUGGACAGACAGACAGACUGACAGCCCAGAUCUGGACAGACUGACAGACAGACAGACUGACAGACUGACUGACUGACUGACAGACUGACACACUAGAUCUGGACAGACAGACAGACUGACAGACUGACAGCCCAGAUCUGGACAGACAGACAGACUGACUGACACACUGACAGCCCAGAUCUGGACAGACUGACAGACACCCCAGAUCCGCUGCCCAGCACCUUCACCCACAGCAGAUCAUCCCUGGGACGGACAGACAGACAGACAGACGGACAGACAGACAGACUCCCAGGCCAUUCCAGAGCCCAGGAAUGGCCCCCAAAAUACAGGAAAAACCAUGUGGGGGAAAAACAUCCUGGAUUUGGAUUUGGAGGACAAAAAUUCUCCUGGGGUUGGAUUGUGGGGAAAAAUCCUUCCAGGGAAAAAAAAAAAUCUUCCUGGCUUGGAUUUGUAUGGAAAAAUCAUCCUGGGGCUGAAUUCAUAGGGGAAAAAGAUGUUGGAAAAAUCAUCCUGGGGUUAGAUUUGGGGGGAGAAAAUAAUCCAAUUAUAAAUAUAAUAAUCCUGGGGUUUCUUUUAGGAAAAAAAUCCAGGGGUUUAUUUUAGGAAAAAUCAUCCUGGGGUUUCUUUUAGGAAAUAAUUCUGGGGUUUAUUUUAGGAAAUAAUCCUGGAGUUUAUUUUAGGAAAUAAUCCUGGGGUUUCUUUUAGGAAAUAAUCCAGGGAUUUAUUUUAGGAAAAAAUCAUCCUGGGGUUUCUUUUAGGAAAAAUUCCAGGGAUUUCUUUUAGGAAAUAAUCCUGGGGUUUAUUUUAGGAAAUAAUCCCGGGGUUUUUUUAGGAAAAAUCAUCCUGGGGUUUAUUUUAGGAAAAAAUCCUGGGGUUUCUUUUAGGAAAAAUCAUCCUGGGGUUUCUUUUAGGAAAAAAUCCUGGGGUUUAUUUUAGGAAAUAAUCCUGGGGUUUCUUUUAGGAAAAAUAAUCCAGGGGUUUAUUUUAGGAAAAAAUCCUGGGGUUUCUUUUGGGAAAAAUAAUCCUGGGGUUUCUUUUAGGAAAAAUAAUCCUGGGGUUUCUUUUAGGAAAUAAUUCUGGGGUUUAUUUUAGGAAAUAAUCCUGGGGUUUCUUUUAGGAAAAAUAAUCCUGGGGUUUCUUUUAGGAAAAAAAUCCUGGGAUUUCUUUUAGGAAAUAAUCCCUGGGUCUCUUUUAGGAAAAAAUCCCGGGGUUUCUUUUAGGAAAAAAUCCUGGGGUUUAUUUUAGGAAAAAAAUCCAGGUUGGAUUUGUGAGGAAAAAUCCUUUCAGGUGUUGGAUUUUUAGGGAAAAGCCACCCUGGGGUUGGAUUUUAGGGGGAAUCAUCCCGGGCAGGAGCAGCAGCAGAGCUGGGCUGGAACAGCUGGAGCUGCACCCCUGGGGUUCCUGAGGGGUUUUGGGGAUUCCUGAGGGAUUUUUGGGGGAUUUUGGGGGAUUUUUGGGGAUUCCCAGGCACUCAC